GUAACACGGUAUGCAACCUGCCCUCCGCAGGGGGAUAACCCGGAGAAAUCCGGACUAAUACCGCGUGGUACACCGGUGGGGCAUCCCACGGGUGUUAAAAGGAAGUGAUUCCGGCGGAGGAUGGGCAUGCGGCGCAUUAGCUUGUUGGCGGGGUAACGGCCCACCAAGGCGACGAUGCGUAGGGGUUCUGAGAGGAAGGUCCCCCACACUGGUACUGAGACACGGACCAGACUCCUACGGGAGGCAGCAGUGAGGAAUAUUGGUCAAUGGGCGGGAGCCUGAACCAGCCAAGUCGCGUGAGGGAAGACGGUCCUAUGGAUUGUAAACCUCUUUAGGCGGGGAGCAAUGCCGGGCACGCGUGCCCGGAGGGAGAGUACCCGCAGAAUAAGCAUCGGCUAACUCCGUGCCAGCAGCCGCGGUAAUACGGAGGAUGCGAGCGUUAUCCGGAUUUAUUGGGUUUAAAGGGUGCGUAGGCGGAUUUUUAAGUCAGCGGUAAAAUGUCCGGGCUCAACCCGGGCCGGCCGUUGAAACUGGGGAUCUUGAGUGGGCGAGAAGUAUGCGGAAUGCGUGGUGUAGCGGUGAAAUGCAUAGAUAUCACGCAGAACUCCGAUUGCGAAGGCAGCAUACCGGCGCCCGACUGACGC
Molecule: ribosomal RNA, 644 nt
Filed under: uncultured bacterium
Lineage: Bacteria
Description: bacterial SSU rRNA
Rfam family: Bacterial small subunit ribosomal RNA
Source: RNAcentral